Ribosomal RNA from Tropilaelaps mercedesae, 119 nucleotides. NCBI's taxonomy places the organism in Eukaryota, Metazoa, Arthropoda, Arachnida, Mesostigmata, Laelapidae. The record is from Rfam.
GGUAUCGGCCUAAUUACGCUUAAUAUGCCGGGUGUCGUUCGAUCACCGAAGCUACCCAAUCUUGGGCCCGAUUAGUACUUGGAAGGGGGACCGCCUGGGAACAUUGGGUGUUGAUAGCA